GGCGCGGUAGCAAAGCGGUUAUGCAGUGGAUUGCAAAUCCAUCCAGGGCGGUUCGACUCCGCCCCGCGCCUCCA
RNAcentral lists this transfer RNA (74 nucleotides) under Rubrivivax sp. RNAcentral's name for it is "tRNA-Cys". It matches the Rfam family "tRNA". From Rfam's summary of the family: Transfer RNA (tRNA) molecules are approximately 80 nucleotides in length. Their secondary structure includes four short double-helical elements and three loops (D, anti-codon, and T loops). RNAcentral also lists the same sequence under 12 other names. The record is from RNAcentral. Lineage: Bacteria; Pseudomonadati; Pseudomonadota; Betaproteobacteria; Burkholderiales; Sphaerotilaceae.